RNAcentral lists this ribosomal RNA (602 nucleotides) under uncultured cyanobacterium. RNAcentral describes it as "bacterial SSU rRNA". It matches the Rfam family "Bacterial small subunit ribosomal RNA", at positions 152 to 787 of the family's 1533-position model. The record is from RNAcentral. Lineage: Bacteria; Bacillati; Cyanobacteriota.
GGAAACGGUCGCUAAUACCCGAUGUGCCGAAAAGUGAAACGAAAUUCGCCAGAAGAAGAGCUCGCGUCCGAUUAGCCAGUUGGUGUGGUAAAAGCGCACCAAAGCGACGACCGGUAGCUGGUCUGAGAGGACGAGCAGCCACACUGGGGCUGAGACACGGCCCAGACUCCUACGGGAGGCAGCAGUGGGGAAUUUUCCGCAAUGGGCGAAAGCCUGACGGAGCAACGCCGCGUGAGGGAAGACGGUCUGUGGAUUGUAAACCUCUUUUCUAUGGGAAGAAGAUCUGACGGUACCAUAGGAAUCAGCAUCGGCUAACUCCGUGCCAGCAGCCGCGGUAAUACGGAGGAUGCAAGCGUUAUCCGGAAUUAUUGGGCGUAAAGCGUCCGCAGGCGGCUAAUCAAGUCUGCUGUCAAAGGCCAAGGCUCAACCUUGGACAGGCAGUGGAAACUGACUAGCUUGAGUACGGUAGGGGCAGAGGGAAUUCCCAGUGUAGCGGUGAAAUGCGUAGAUAUUGGGAAGAACACCAGUGGCGAAGGCGCUCUGCUGGGCCGUAACUGACGCUGAGGGACGAAAGCUAGGGGAGCGAAAGGGAUUAGAUACCC